AGCAGCCGCGGUAAUUCCAGCUCCAAUAGCGUAUAUUAAAGUUGUUGCAGUUAAAAAGCUCGUAGUUGAAUUUCGGGAUCGAUACGUCGGUCGUGCCUUCGGUACGCACUGGCGUUUAUCGAUUUCUCCCUUCUGACGAACCAUGAUGUCAUUAAUUUGGUGUUAUGGGGAAUCAGGACUGUUACUUUGAAAAAAUUAGAGUGUUUAAAGCAGGCAUUAGCUUGAAUACAUUAGCAUGGAAUAAUGAAAUAGGACGUUCGAACCUAUUUUGUUGGUUUCUAGGAUCAACGUAAUGAUUAAUAGGGAUAGUUGGGGGCAUUAGUAUUCAAUUGUCAGAGGUGAAAUUCUUGGAUUUAUUGAAGACUAACUACUGCGAAAGCAUUUGCCAAGGAUGUUUUCAUUAAUCAAGAACGAAAGUUAGGGGAUCGAAGACGAUCAGAUACCGUCGUAGUCUUAACCAUAAACUAUGCCGACUAGGGAUCGGAUGAUGUUAAUUUUUUAAUGACUCAUUCGGUCGCCU
Molecule: ribosomal RNA, 520 nt
Filed under: uncultured Glomus
Lineage: Eukaryota; Fungi; Glomeromycota; Glomeromycetes; Glomerales; Glomeraceae
Description: SSU rRNA
Rfam family: Eukaryotic small subunit ribosomal RNA
Source: RNAcentral